RNAcentral lists this ribosomal RNA (348 nucleotides) under uncultured Anoxybacillus sp. RNAcentral's name for it is "bacterial SSU rRNA". It matches the Rfam family "Bacterial small subunit ribosomal RNA", at positions 1033 to 1382 of the family's 1533-position model. Lineage: Bacteria; Bacillati; Bacillota; Bacilli; Caryophanales; Anoxybacillaceae. The record is from RNAcentral.
GACAGGUGGUGCAUGGUUGUCGUCAGCUCGUGUCGUGAGAUGUUGGGUUAAGUCCCGCAACGAGCGCAACCCUCGACCUUAGUUGCCAGCAUUCAGUUGGGCACCCUAAGGUGACUGCCGGCUAAAAGUCGGAGGAAGGUGGGGAUGACGUCAAAUCAUCAUGCCCCUUAUGACCUGGGCUACACACGUGCUACAAUGGGCGGUACAAAGGGUCGCGAACCCGCGAGGGGGAGCCAAUCCCAAAAAGCCGCUCUCAGUUCGGAUUGCAGGCUGCAACUCGCCUGCAUGAAGCCGGAAUCGCUAGUAAUCGCGGAUCAGCAUGCCGCGGUGAAUACGUUCCCGGGCCUU